UCGACGGCUGGGGUGUUGGUGGCCGGGUGCGGCUGUUGUCCGUACCGCGCCGGAUCGACGUCGGGGCCGCCGGU
Molecule: transfer RNA, 74 nt
Filed under: Mycolicibacterium neworleansense
Lineage: Bacteria; Bacillati; Actinomycetota; Actinomycetes; Mycobacteriales; Mycobacteriaceae
Description: tRNA-Asn
Source: RNAcentral